GGCCCGCCUCGCCCUCCCCGUCCACAGUGGAGGAGCUGAGACUUUCUCUGAAACUCAGCCAGAGCCUUUUCCUCCAACAACAAGGGCAGGGAGGAGGGAGGAAGGUUGUUGGGCUUUGGAGAGGGAUCCUGGGAUCUGUAGUUCGGAGGAUGGUUCAGCUUAUGUCUGCUUUACGGGCAGCCUGGCUAAGGGGAACUACAGGGGUGGAUGCAUAGCUGCAAAAGGAGGUGAAGUUGGAGGAGGCCCUAGAGAGGAACCAGAGAGGGAGGCUCUCCUCAGGUAUGAAGCGGAAAUUUACAGAUAAAGCAAUGAAGAAGAAGCAGCAAGUUUGCUAGCCAGUCUUGUAGAAACUCCCUCCAGACUGUACAGUCAUUAACAUAUGCAGAAAUAAAUCAGCAAGAUGUCCCCCCACCCCCCUCCAAAGACAAUAGCUUUGCACCUGUUGAAGACGAAUGAAAUUGGGCAGAUUUUUCUUUUUCUCUCACUGUAAGCAUUUUAUAAGUCAGGCACAGUGGAAAUGAUCCAAACCAAACUGAAAUGUGUGUUGUAUUCCUUGACUUGGUCAUGUAACUGGUUGAAAUUAAAAGUAUUAUAGGGACAACCUUAUGUUCUGCUGGCAGUGCAAUGCACAGUCAUGUAAGAUCAGUAUUUAGGGCCAGAUCCACCAAAGGAUUUAGGUGCCUACAGCUCAGAUUUAGGCACCUAAGUCCCUGUUGUGGGCCUCACUGUGAUCCACAAAACCCCUGCUCGGUUGCUGCCUAACCCUGUAGGUGCCUAAAUUCACUUGGUGCCUACAUUUUUGCUGUAAAAGUUCCCUAGGUACCUAAGUUUCCGCUACUGAGCAUGCACAAUGCUGCCUUUCUCUUGGCAUCCAUAUGCCUGUCUCACACCGAAGCUCCAGUGCAAUCCUCAAACCAGGAAAAGAUAGGCAUUCCUCUGCCAGGUGUGCUCUGAGCGUGCCUCACUCCACACAAAAUGGCCAGGAGACAGGAGUCCUCCCAUUAGCCCACUGUUUAAGGUAUUCACUCAGGAGGCGGGAGACCUUGGUUGAGUUUCCUUCUCUGUCUUAUAAGAAGGCAUUUGAACAGGGGUUCCUCACCGCUCAAGGGAGUGUCCUAACCACUGGGCUAUGGGACAUUCUGAUGUGGGACUUUCUCCAUCUUGAAGCCGCUCCACGUUAGUUAAAUCAUUCAGUAUUAAUUGGGCCAGAGAAAGAAUGAGACUCACUCUAUAGUCCAACAGUUAGGGUGAACCCCUGUUCAAAUCCUUUCUUCUGAUCAACCAAGGGGAGGGAGGCAAAUUGAAUCAGGAUCUCCCACAUUCCAGAUGAGGGCCCUAACUAGUGGCACAAAAGCUGUAAGGGAAUCCUUCUCACACUCCACCCUCAGCCAUUUUGUUUGGUGCAAGGAUGCACUGCUCCCUAGAGACACCAGCUGGCAGGUAAAUAGAGCUCCAGAGAAAGCCAUGUCCAGCUCUCCUUCAUCAAACAGAAGGUUACUGCAACAUGGGGCACUGGAUGAGAAGUAAAAAGGCCAAGAGUUAGCAAAUAUGAAAACAAACAGCUUGAGGUUUUUCUAUUUCAGUAUGAAAAUCAUGUGCAUGUCAGAGAAGAUUGGUCACAGAACCUUUUAAUAUAAUAGAGCAAUUUGGAUAAUUGAGUUUAUAAUGUAAUUAUACUCAUAUGCUUUGCCAACUAGAAUUUUUGUUGCUAUUUUCCCCCCCACCUUAUACACCUCCAUGCUUAAGCAAUGCUUUGUAACUGAUAUUUUGAAAAUAAAAUAAGGAAUUGAAAAA
Long non-coding RNA from Dermochelys coriacea (leatherback sea turtle), 1794 nucleotides. RefSeq lists it as uncharacterized. NCBI's taxonomy places the organism in Eukaryota, Metazoa, Chordata, Testudines, Dermochelyidae. The record is from RefSeq and is a predicted model, not a curated record. The transcript is spliced from 3 exons.